AGAGCGAGGCCCCGCCGGCCGGGCUUGACGUCAGGCUGGCAGGGCCUGGAACGGCCCCGCAUCGCGGCCCCCUGGGGGCAGGACGACACCGCUGGGGGCCGAGGGCAGGGCACGCCUUCGGAAUCCGGCUUCGAAGCCGGCCGCCUGACCUGGGGCAAGUGCUUUCAACUCUCUGAACUUCGGUUCCUCAUCUGCCAGUUGGCAGACGCUCAGCAAAUCUUCCUAGACUCACGGGGCGAAUUGUACAGUUGGGUAAAUCGAGGCCCAGAGAUGGCAAAAGGACCGUCCAAGGUCGUACAGCCACCCGGAAUUACAAUUCUUUUCUGCCGGGUCACACGCUGUCAUCCACGUGUUACCUAAGAGAGCUUUCCAGCCUGUGCUAAGAAAACUGCCCCACAUCAUCUGCAGUAGGACGGGGGAGUUGGAGCCCUGGUCAGGCCACUCUGCUACUGACCACAGUUUUCUCAUCUCUAAAAAGGCGCAGUAACAAUAUAAUUACCGUAUGCAGUCCCCCAGGAUACAGGGUCAAAGGAGAGCACAACCAUCGCAGUUGGAAGCCCAUGGGGCAGACCCAGACUUCACCCUCAGGUCACCCUCACCUGGACUUUGGGGUGCCCCACACCCCGCCCCAGGCCCUGGCCUCUGGAAUAUUUGGAAACUUGAACUGGGCCAGAGGCUUAAGCUCACAUCUGUCUGGAGCCUCAACUUUCUCCUCUGUAAAAUGGGCUAACACUGAAAGAACCUUGCAGAAUCUCAGCAACGUCACAGAGGACAUUGUUAGCACAGCCAGCGGGCUCCUGCUGGGCUGAGUUUGUGGGUAAUCCAAGCCUCGGCAGGUACAGUUCCUCCCUCAGGGCCCAGGACACAGUGAGCAUACAAUAGACAUUAGCUGCUGUGGUGUCUUGAUUUCAAGCCCAGUGCAGAUGCAUCUGACUUACGAAACUUCAGUGACACCUGCUCUGUGCCAGACACUGAAGAUGGAGCAGUGAACAGCACUGACCCAGCCUGUCCUCCUGUUGCCUGCAGGCCAGAAGCAAGGUCUCGCUGUGUUACCCUGGCUGGAGUGCAGUGGCUACUUACAGGCAUGAUCAUAGCAUACUGCAGCCUCGAACUCCUGGACUAGAGCAGUUCUCCUGCCUCAGCCUCCAGAGCAGCUGGGACUGCAGACACGCACCACAGAGCCCAGCCUGAGUCAUUUUGAUUCUGUAACUGGCUUCCUCUCGGCGGGCAGGCUCACACCCUCCACCCCCAGCUGGAGAUGGAAGGAGGAUGCUCACCGCCCAUUCCUCAUGCAGGCCAUCGAUGGAAAUGUCAGACAGUGCGAGUCCACGCCUGAACACUUCUGGGGUCCGCUCUGGGACUGACACUGGCAGAUCCAUCGGUGAGCUCCCGCCUGCCACCUCUGGGCCUGCAUUGCGGUGAUAGGGCCAAGGGCCUGGGCCUUCAAUUCUCCAGACUUGCCAAAAUGCUCAGCGCAGGCCUCGUCGGCAACUGCAGACAAGCAGAGGCAGCACCUGGGCUCUGCCUGUGCCUGGCACAGUGAAGCGAGGGUGGGGGCAGGAAUGAGGGUCCUCUCCAUGCAAGGGGGGAAGAUAGAAGAACAAAAUUUCACCCUAAUGUAGUGUCUUUAGACCGUGCAAUGUUGUGCUCCUGUUAGUCUGAUAUCAGGGGCUUGCAGCCUGGCAAAGGAAAAAAAACAGGCUGAGGCACAUGAUAGAAGACAGGCAGGGAUGCCACAAUCAUAACCAUGGCAAAGACCAGGAUCAGAAAGGCCCACCAUCUCUGACCCCAAAUCCCUGGGCAGAUGGUUCCAGAACUCAGAAUUUUCCCAGUUGUAGAAAGAUGGGGCCAGGUGCAGUGGCUCACGCCUGUAAUCCCAGCAUUUUGGGAGUACAAGGUGGGCGGAUCACCUGAGGUCAGGAGUUCGAGACCAGCCUGGCCAACAUGGUGAAACCCUGUCUCUACUAAAAAAAAAAAAAAAAAUUAGCCGGGCGUGGCGAUGCAUGCCUGUAAUCCCAGCUACUCGGGAGGCUGAGCCAGGAGAAUUGCUUGAACCCGGGAGGCGGAGGUUGCAGUGAGCCAAGAUCGCGCCACUACACUCCAGUCCGGGCGACAGAGCAAGAGUCCAUUCCCCCACCACCAAAAAAAAAAAAAAAAGAAAGAAAGAUGAUGUGAUACAUAUCACAUAUUUCCUAACACCCCCAACCAAACACAUUUAUGCAUAUGCAUAAAGCAGACGAGGAAAGAUUCUAAAUAGGCUCUGAAUCUCAGUUUUCUCAUCUCUACAAUGGGGCAGUGAUGGCAUGCACCUCCCAGGGCUGUUCUGAGAAUCUGAUGCCUCCCAUUGCACUGGUGAGCCUGGCACAGGCACAGGUCCCACCCCAGGCCCUUUGAACUGGCUGUUCCUUUGGCCUGGAACAUUCCUCCCCAGAUACCUCCUGAGAGGGCUCCCUCACUUCCUUCAAGGCACUGCUCAAAUGCUACCUCUUCACAGAGGCUUUCCCUGACCACCCCGUCUCUUUCCUCUUCCUGCAUAGCCUCUGUCACCUGACAUUUUAUGUCAUAAAUUACUCAUUUAUUAAUUUCCUGCUCUCCCACAGUGGCACCCGAGCUCUGUGAGGGCAAGACUUUGUUCGGUUGUGGGCUAUGCCCCCAACCCCUCGGACAGUGCCUGCACAGGUGGACAUUUUUGUUGGAUGAAGGAUUUUCUGUUAAAUGUGUCUGGCACACACAGAAAAACAAAGCCCAGCAGGUACGAUGGUGAUUAUUAUUGUUACUGGUGGCGCUCUAUUAUUGUUAUUAGUGUCUGUUGAAAAAGACCCUGAGCUAUACCAGCCCUUGGUUCUCCAGCCUGUGAAAUGGGCAUCCUGGGCACUGAGGCACUAGCCUUGGGAAGCUGAUAGGGGGUCCCUGCAGGAGAGACAAAGAACACUGCCCACCCCCCCGGGGGAGCCUGCGCCCCUCACCGGAAAGAGAAGCAGGGGGGAGCAGAGGGAGCUUGCAGCCCCACACGCAGGGCUGCCAGAAGGCCAUACAUAAUUCAUUGCCAAAUGGGGCUGCGGGCGGCUCUCCGCGGCGUGCGCUGGGGGCUCACUCUGCGCCUGGCACUUCGCUGACUGCGCCUCACACGUUGCCUCAUUGCAUCUUCAUGGAUUUGCAGGGUGUGACCCUUCCCCCUGUUUUACCCAGGGGGAUCCUGAGGCUCAGAGGAUGGGGCCACCGUGCUAGUCACACAGCCUCUCUGUGGCCAAGCUGGGCCUCGGGCCAGCAGAUUCGGCCCCCAGCGGCCCCCAUUCACUGCCUCUCUGCUGAGGGAAAAGACGGGCCUGGGGAGCGGGUGGGAGGCACAAAGGAGACCCCGCUCUGAGACAGGCUGCAGAAGAGGGAGCUGGGUCUCAGCAGGGCUGGGGAAGGCUCUGGCCCCAGCCCUCCGCCCAACCCCCUGCCCUCCUCUCCUGGAGGAGAUGCUCCCCAAAUUAGCCAUCAUGAGCGCUGGCUCUGGGGGUUGGGCGUUGGGGAGCAGUUUGCUCAGCUGUAAAAUGGGAAUAACAGAAGCCGUCCCUGGGACUAUGAGAUCAAGGUGCUCAAGAAAAGUGGUGUCUGCUGAGGGGAAAAGCCAGUCCCAAAAGGUUGCAUACUCUCAUUCUGUUUAUUUGUUUUUGUUUUUGAGACAGGGUCUCGCCCUGUCACCCAGGCUGGAGUACAGUGGCGCAAUAUGGGCUCACUGCAACCUCCACCUCCUGGGCUCAAGUGAUCCUCCCAUCUCAGACCCUCAAGGAGCUGGGGCUACAGGCACGUGCCACCGUGUCCGGCUAAUUUUUGUAUUUUUUGUAGAGACAGGGUUUCACCAUGUUGCCCAGGCUGGUCUCAAACUCCUGAGCUCAGGUGAUCCGCCUGCCUUGGCCUGCGAUAAAAUUGCACAGAAGUAAAUACACACACGUGAGGAUACGGAAAACCGGGGAAACCUGAGCAAGAGCAGUCAGACCCCGGCUGUGAUGGCGCCCAGUAGUUCUGCGAGAUGUUACCAUUGGGGAAACUGAGUGAAGGCGGGUACCUGGGAUCCCUCUGUUUUCUUUUUUGUUGUUGUUGUUAUUUUGAGAUGAAGUUUCCCUCUUGUUGCCCAGGCUGGGUGAUCCACCUGCCUCGGCCUCCCAAAGUGCUGGGAUUACACGCGUGAGCCACUGUGCCCAGCCUCUCUGUUUUAUUUCUUCUUUUUUUUUUUUUUUUUUUGGAGACGCUCUGUCGCCCAGGCUGGAGUGCAGUGGCACGAUAUUGGCUCACUGCAAGCUCCGCCUCCUGGGUUCACACCAUUCUCCUGCCUCAGCCUCCCGAGUAGCUGGGACUACAGGCGCCCGCCACCUCGCCCGUCUAAUUUUUUGUAUUUUUAGUAGAGGCGGGGCUUCACCGUGUUAGCCAGGAUGGUCUCAAUCUCCUGACCUCGUCAUCCGCCCGUCUCGGCCUCCCAUAGUGCUGGGAUUACAGGCAUGAGCCACCACGCCCGGCUGUUUUAUUUCUUAUAACUGUACAGGAAUCUACAAUGAUUGUAACAAAAAUUUCAAUUAAGGCCACUCUAGGCACAUGGCCUGUGGGGUAGCCCUGCUCAACAAGAAGCCGUCAAAAAAAUGUUUUUUAAUUAAAAAAUUUCUUCAAUUAAAAAGCGUUAUCUUCCUCUGCCCGGAAAGGGUUAAGUGAGUCACUGCAGUUAGCUCCCCUUCCCCCACAACCACCUAGACCAGGCCAGGGACCAGCGGGCAAUUGCCUGGCAGCUGGAGUUUUCCUCCACUGUGGACUGUACUUCUUGCGUCACUCUGAAUGUCUCCAGUCUUUAUUCCAGAAUGUUCUGGUCCUCUCCCACUUUUCCAAGGACAGGAAUUCCCUAGUGGGGCUCCAGAAGAGGCUCUGGAGGAGAACAAGAAAGGCCCUUGUCAUCCAUUGGCCUCAGGCUGGGAAAUCUCGGUUCCACUCCCAGCCCAGCCUCAAUAUUAGGUUGUCAGUCUGGAGUCUGAGAGCCAUGCCCCCACCCCCUUAGUCCUUCACCUCCAGGAGAGUUGGGGAUACUGGAAAGAAUGUUGAGUGUCAGAGCCCCUCUCAGUGGCUCACGCCUGAAAUCCCAGCCCUUUGGGAGGCUGAGGCAGGUGGAUUGCUUGAGGCCAAGAGUUCAAGACCAGCCUGGCCAACGCGACGAAACCCUGACUCUACUAAAAAUACAAAAAUUAGCUGGGCGUGGUGGCACACACCUGUAAUCCCAGCAGCUCGGGAGGCUGAGGCAGGAGAAUUGUUUGAACCUGAGAGGUGGAGGUUGCAGUGAGCUGAGAUCACAACACUGCACUCAAAAAGUAGUUAAUUAAUUUAGUUUAAUUAAAAAAGAAUAUUGAGUGUCAGGCAAUCUGGGUAGAACCCAUUGUGUUUCUACAGGAUAGAAUCUGCUGUGUUCUCUAGCGGAACUUCCGGAUCACCUUCACCGUAUGACUCUAGACAAUCCCUGUCCACUCUUCAGUUUUAGAUGCCCCAUUCAAAGAAUGAAAGAAUUGUCCUAGAUGAUCCUUUAGGGUCUUCCAGGCUGAUGACAAGGGGGACCUGGCCCCUCUGCUGCUGGCCAAAGAGGACUUUACUUCCCAUUCCGUGUGGUUGAACAAGAAUUGCUGGGCUCCAGUCCUGCCUUUGGCCCUUCCCUACAUGUGACCUUGGGCCCUCUUUGCCUUUCAGAAUCAAUACAGUGAGAGAGUUAACACAAGCUCAGGUUAGUAAGUCAUUCAACAAACAUUUACUGAGCGCUUAUCAAAUACUGCAUGCUGGAGUGGACACUGGAGAAAAAGGUGAGGAGAAGGCCGGGCGCAGUGGCUCGUGACUGUAAUUCCAGCACUUUGAGGGGCAGAGGCAGGUGGAUUACCUGAGGUCAGGAGUUUGAGACCAGCCUGGCCAACAUGGCAAAACCCCGUCUCUACUAAAAAUACAAAUAUUAGCCAGGCAUGGUGGUGCAUAUCUGUAGUCCCAGCUACUCAGGAGGCUGAGCAGGAGAAUCACUUGAACUCAGGAGGUGGAGCGUGCAGUGGGCCGAGAUUGCACCUCUGCACUCCAGCCUGGGCAACAUAGUGAGACUCUGUCUCAAAUAAAUAAAUAAAGUGAGGAGAAAAAAAUACCAUCUCUGUCUUCACAGAACUUAUAGUUUGAGAGGGGAGAAUCCCACAAGUAAAUUAUAAAUCUCAGCUGAGAUUAUGCAAAGAAGCAAAGGCCGGACGUGGUGGCUCACGCCUGUAAUCCCAGCACUUUGGGAGGCCGAGACGGGCGGAUCAUGAGGUCAGGAGAUUGAGACCAUCCUGGCUAACACGGUGAAACCCUGUCUCUACUAAAAAUACAAAAAAAUUAGCUGGGCGUGGUGGCGGGCGUCUGUAGUUCCAGCUACUCGGGAGGCUGAGGCAGGAGGAUGGCGUGAACCCAGGAGCACAGGUUGCAGUGAGCCGAGAUGGCGCCACUGCACUCCAGCCUGGGCGACAGAGCGAGACUCUGUCUCAAAAAAAAAAAAAAAAAAGGAAGCAAAGUGCCCAGCUGGGAUGGUGGUUUCAGAGGCCACAGUGGGAGCUUCCCAGAGAAGGGAUGAUUGAGCUAAGUCUAAGCAAAAGGGGUGGUCAGGGCAGCAGCUGCUCCAAAACAGGGGCUGGGGGCUUAUGUGGAGAGAGAAGACAUGGAGAGACCAUGCCCAGAAGGAGGCGGCGGCUUCAGUGAACAGUGCAGGGGAGCAGGUCCGAGGAGGCCGCCUACCAGGGGAAGGAGUCUCAUCUCCAUCCUAGACAAAAAAAGGAUCUUUUGAGAUGCAUUAAGCAGGGGAGUCACAGAUUGGAUUUGUGUUUUGAGAAUCUCCUGCUUACCUAGAGAAGAAGGGCAUCUCCUGGGCCCUCACUGUUGCCUUAAAUGAUUUUUAUUGUGUAUUACUUAAACAUGUGCAAGCAUAAAAUGAGAUAUAAACUCCUUGUAGCUCUUAUACAAGCAUCAGACCAAGACAAAUUGACCCAUCACGUACAAAAUCGAUUCAAAUCAGAUUAAUUUUAUGUGACAUGUUAUUAUGCCUUUUGUCUGAAACCCUGCCACCACCCACAGUGCAAUUAUGGCCCAACCACUGUGGUGUUCUGAAUUUGUGGGACAGAGAAUAUUGGCCUUUUAAACACGUGCAUGCAUGCAUUUGCGUGUGCGCACACACACACAUCCCAAAUGAUUUUUUCCCACUAUAUAUGAAGAACUCCUACAAACCAAAAAGAAAAAGGCAGACAAUUCAAGAGAAAAAUGGGGGAGGGCUUGCAUUAAAGUACUUCAUAACAAGAGUACUUAGGAGGCCAACAAAUACACGAAAAGCUGCUAGCUUCAUGACUCAUGGGGGUGGCUUGGUCAGUUCAGGAUACUGUAACAAAAUACCUUAGACUGGGAAAUUUAUAAACAACGGAAUUUAUUGCUCACAGUUCUGGAGGCUGGGAAGUCCAAGAUCAAGGCAGCAGUAGAUCCGGUGCCUGAGCCCGUUCCCUGCUUCAAACAUGGCACCUUCUUGCUUUUUUGGGAGAAACUCAAACAUUCGGACAAUAGCAAGGAGAAUACAAAACCACAGUGAGCUACCGCUUCAGACACCAGAGAAGUUUAAGUGAAAAAGACUGGCAAUACCAAGUGCUGAUGAGGAUAUGGAGCAACCAGAACUCUCAGACAUUGCUGAUGGGAAUCUAAAUUAGUAUAACCACCACGAAAGCAUCCGUAAGGUUUAAUUGUGUUGAACACACCCUGCCCUCUGACCAAGCAUUUCCACUCCUGGGCAUACAGGCAAAAGAAAUGCAUCCACGUGUUCAUCAAAAGAUGUAACCUGUGCCAGGUGAGGUGGUUCAUGCCUGUAAUCCCAGCACAUCGGGAGGCCAAGGAGGGAGGAUUGCUUGAGCCCAGAAGUUCGAGAGCAGCCUAGGCAACAAGGCAAAACCUCGUCUCUACUAAAAAGUAGCCAGGCAUGAUGGUAUAUGCCUGUAGUCCCAGCUACUCAGGAGGCCAAGGCAUGCAGAUUGAUUGAACCCGGAAGGUGGAGGCUACAGUGAAUUGUGAUCUCGCCACUGCACUCCAGCCUGGGUGACAGAGCAAGAUCUUGUCUCAAUUAAAAAAAAAGGAAGAAAGAAAGACAUAACCUGGAAUAUUCACACCAACACUAUUCAGGAUAGCCCUAAACUGGAAAGAAUCUGAAUAUCCUCCGGCUUUAGAACAGAGAGAAAUUAUAGACUAUUCAUUCAUACAGGGGAUGAUUGAUCAGCUUUAAGAAUAAACAAACCGUACACAACAAUAUAGAUGAAUCUACAACCUUAAUGUGCAAAAUAGUUCACAUAUAUAAAGGACAAAAACAGGCAAAACUACUCCAUGGUGUUAGAAAUAGGGGUAGAGGUUACCCUCAUGCGGCAGGAGGGUUAGUGAUAGGGGAUUUGGAAGAGGAGGAGCCCAAUGGACUGAACAGCUGAGCUGGAAACAGCAAUUUGUUCCUUAAAGUUCUGAACCCAACUGUUAUCCAGCAUGGAGUCUGUCUGGAGAGGCCAGAUGUGGGGCCUCUCACAGGGGAAUGAGAAGUGCCUCUCAGGGUCCCACCCAUGAUCCCCCUUUCCUUGCCCACACAACCACCAACUGGCAAGUAGUAACCCAGGACCUGUAGCCCCCACUGGCUUGACACAGAGCAUAAUGCAAGCUUUUCCUGCUCCAGGUCCUGGACACCACUUUGCCCUUUGCCCCACACGUACAGCCCCCUGACCAAAAGCUGGGUACUCUGGCUUGACUAGAGGGAGCUAGACUCCAGGAAUAAGUAAGGAGCUGGGCUUCCACGCUAGAGAACAAGAGCUUCUCUGGGGAAAGGGGCUUCCCAUGAAGCCCUGGGGCACUGGGAGAUUAAUGGGCAGACCUCUGGCCUCAGCUUCCAGGGAAGGGGAGGGUGUGGGCCAACAUGCGGUGGCUACACUGACCACAAGCCGAUGACCCCAGCCAGCCUCAGGAUGUCUCAGCUCUAGGCAUGGUUUUUCGUUUUGUUUUGUCGUGUUUUGUUUUUGAGAUGGAACCUCGCUCUGUCGCCUAGGCUGGAGUGAAGUGGCACCAUCUCGUCUCCCUGCAACCUCCACCUCCUGGGUUCAAGCGAUUCUCCUGCCUCAGCCUCCUGAGUAGCUGAGAUUACAUGUGCGUGCCACCUUGCCCAGCUAAUUUUUGUAUUUUUAGUAGAGAUAGGGUUUCAUCAUGUUAGCUAGGCUGGUCUCAAACUCCUGACCUCAAGUGAUCUGCCUGCCUCAGCCUCCCAAAGUGCAAGGAUUACAGGCAUGAGCCACCAUGCCCGGCAUAGGCAUGGUUUUGACAAUCUGUCUCUUUGUGCCCUGGCUCCUUCUCCAACUCCUCUUUGGAGGAGGCACAGGAGGAGGGGUCAUUUCACUGUUCCUGAAAAGUAGACAUAUAACCUACAUGCAACUGCCAGGUGAUAAGGGCCCCAUCUGUCUGGCAUGACGUUGGAGGUCCACAAAGGCUGAUUAGAUGAAUGCUCAGCUCUGGGGCCUCCCCACAGAGCUCACAGACAGGCGUGAAGGAAAGCAGGACUCUUAUUAGAAUAUGUUCAGAGUUUUCACUGAAGAAGCCUCCUGUGUGGGCCAGGCACUGUGCUCAGUGCUUUGAUUCACAGUCUCAUUUAAUUCUCACCAUUUACAGACAAGAAUUCAGCUAAGAUCCUUUUCAAUCAAGUCUGGCAAUAUCUGCCUUUCAAUGGCAGUGCCUAGUCCUUUCAUAUGUAAUAUACUUAUCAUUAUGGGUGGGUUUAAGUUUUAUCAUCUUGCUAUUUGUUAUCUAUUUGUCCCCCCUCUUUUGUUCCUCCUUUACUGCCUUCUAUUUGGUUGAGACUUAAUAAAAUAUUUUAUUCCAUCUUCUCUACUUACUUUUUAGCUAUGCCUCCUUAUAUUUUUGGUUGCUGGAGUGUUACAAUAUGCAUUCUUCAAUAUCCAGUCUACUUUCCAAUAAUAUUACACCACUUCAUGUAUAACGUAAGAACGUUACAAAAAUAUAAUGCCAGGGCUGGGCGCAGUGGCUCACGCCUGUAAUCCCAGCACUUUGGGAGGUCGAGGCGGGCAGCUCACCUGAGGUCAGGAGUUCGAGACCAGCCUGACCAACAUGGAGGAACCCCAUCUCUACUAAAAAUACAAAAUUAGCCGGGCAUGGUGGCUCAUGCCUGUAAUCCCAGCUACUCAGGAGGCUGAGGCAGGAGAGUUGCUUGAACCGGGGAGGUGGAAGUUGCAAUGAGCCAAGAUUGCGCCGUUGCACCCCACACUGGGCAACAAGAGCGAAACUCCGUCUCAAUAAAUAAAUAAAUUAAAUAAACAAAUAUAUAUAUAUAUAUAUAUGUAAUGCCAUCACAUCUUCUCCGGCCUUUGGUGUUAUUGUGGUCAUAUACUUUAUUUUUGUAUGUCUUAUAGAUCCCAGAAUGCAUUGUUAUUUUUACUUUAAAAGGUGGAUUAAUUUUUAAAGAAUUUAAGAAAAGAAAAACAGUCUUUGGACUGCUGGCCACAAAUUCUCUGUUUUAUUUAUCCCCAAAUAGUUUUAUUUUUCCAUUUUGAGAGAGAUUUUCACUGAUACCAUUCGGAGUUAACAGAUUUAUUCUUUCAUCACUUUUCAGAUGCCGUUCCAUUGUUUGCUGACUUUCAUUGAUUCUAUGAGAAGUCUGCAGUCUUUUGCAGCGUUGUUUUCCUAUGUAUAAUUGUCUCCUCCCACCCCACUCACCCCAGCUGCUUUCCACAUUCUCUCUCUUUGAUUUUCAGCAGUCUGCCCAUGAUGUGCCUAAAUAGGACUUUCUUUGCAUUCAUCUUGGCUGGGGCUCACUGAACUUUCUGAAUCUGUAGAUUAAUUUUCUUUUUUCAAUAAACCUUGGAAUAUUUUCAGCAUAAUUUUUUUCCUGUCUUCUUCUCUCUCUUUUCUCCUCUGAAAU
RNAcentral lists this long non-coding RNA (10957 nucleotides) under Homo sapiens (human). RNAcentral describes it as "non-protein coding LINC00963:53". Lineage: Eukaryota; Metazoa; Chordata; Mammalia; Primates; Hominidae. The record is from RNAcentral.